UAGGGAAUCUUCGGCAAUGGACGGAAGUCUGACCGAGCAACGCUGCGUGAGUGAAGAAGGUUUUCGGAUCGUAAAGCUCUGUUGUUAGAGAAGAACGUUGGUAGGAGUGGAAAAUCUACCAAGUGACGGUAACUAACCAGAAAGGGACGGCUAACUACGUGCCAGCAGCCGCGGUAAUACGUAGGUCCCGAGCGUUGUCCGGAUUUAGUGGGCGUAAAGCGAGCGCAGGCGGUUCUUUAAGUCUGAAGUUAAAGGCAGUGGCUUAACCAUUGUACGCUGUGGAAGCGGGAGGACUUGAGUGGAGAAGGGGGGAGUGGAAUUCCAUGUGUAGCGGUGAAAUGCGAGGAUAUAUGGAGGAACACCGGUGGCGGAGGCGGGUCUCUGGUCUGUAACUGACGCUGAGGCUCGAAAGCGUGGGGAGCAAACAGG
This 429-nucleotide ribosomal RNA is filed under the name Bacillota bacterium. RNAcentral describes it as "Firmicutes bacterium partial 16S ribosomal RNA". It matches the Rfam family "Bacterial small subunit ribosomal RNA", at positions 355 to 776 of the family's 1533-position model. Lineage: Bacteria; Bacillati; Bacillota. The record is from RNAcentral.